CGAACAGAUAAGGAGCUUGCUCCUUUGACGUUAGCGGCGGACGGGUGAGUAACACGUGGGUAACCUACCUAUAAGACUGGAAUAACUCCGGGAAACCGGGGCUAAUGCCGGAUAACAUGUUGAACCGCAUGGUUCUACAGUGAAAGACGGUCUUGCUGUCACUUAUAGAUGGACCCGCGCCGUAUUAGCUAGUUGGUGGGGUAACGGCCUACCAAGGCGACGAUACGUAGCCGACCUGAGAGGGUGAUCGGCCACACUGGAACUGAGACACGGUCCAGACUCCUACGGGAGGCAGCAGUAGGGAAUCUUCCGCAAUGGGCGAAAGCCUGACGGAGCAACGCCGCGUGAGUGAUGAAGGUCUUCGGAUCGUAAAGCUCUGUUGUUAGGGAAGAACAAAUGUGUAAGUAACUGUGCACAUCUUGACGGUACCUAACCAGAAAGCCACGGCUAACUACGUGCCAGCAGCCGCGGUAAUACGUAGGUGGCAAGCGUUAUCCGGAAUUAUUGGGCGUAAAGCGCGCGUAGGCGGUUUUUUAAGUCUGAU
Molecule: ribosomal RNA, 544 nt
Filed under: Staphylococcus intermedius
Lineage: Bacteria; Bacillati; Bacillota; Bacilli; Caryophanales; Staphylococcaceae
Description: bacterial SSU rRNA
Rfam family: Bacterial small subunit ribosomal RNA
Source: RNAcentral